CCCAUUUGAUGUGAUGAAGACGAGAAUGAUGACUGCAACGCCAGG
Molecule: small RNA, 45 nt
Filed under: Arabidopsis thaliana (thale cress)
Lineage: Eukaryota; Viridiplantae; Streptophyta; Magnoliopsida; Brassicales; Brassicaceae
Description: ATSL120220
Source: RNAcentral